AGUAGAAGGAAUGGAAUAACAUUAAUUGCAAAAUACAAACUAUAAGACUUUUCCAAGGAUAACAACAUUGCAGAAAUUCUAGAUUGCUUUGGGUUUGGUGAUGAUUUUUUAGAUAUAACACCAAAAGCACAAUCCAUGAAAGAAAAAAAAUUUAAUAAGUUAGACUUCAUUAAAAUUAAAAUCUUCAGCUUUGUCACAGAUACUGCAAAGAGAAUGUAAAGAUAUCCACUUCCUGAGAGAAAAUCUUUGCAAAAACAUACCUGAUAAAGGAUUGGUAUCCAAAAUAUUCUAAGAACUUUAAAAAUUCAACAAUAAGACAACAGAGAAUCCAAUUAAAAAAUGGGUCAAAGGUUUGAACAGAAUUCGUCAUUGCUGGUAGUGGUGUGUGUGUGUGUGUGGGGGGGGGGUGGUUCUUUUCUCUAAAAAGGCUUUCUUCUUUAUUAAAAAAUGAUGCAAAUAAGGACCAUUCUUCCCCAGGUCUUGGAUAUUGCUGUAUGAAGAGGAGAUGCUCAGACCUUUUCCAUCUGCCUUGCAGUCAUGAGGAGACAACUAUUGUAAAUGAACAGAAAUCAAAGAGAAGGCAAGACUGCACACCCUGAAACUUCUUAUCAUCUGUAAUUAGCUCCUCAUGAGGAG
This 636-nucleotide long non-coding RNA is filed under the name Canis lupus familiaris (dog). Its description in RNAcentral is "lncRNA (ENSCAFG00030022313.1)". Lineage: Eukaryota; Metazoa; Chordata; Mammalia; Carnivora; Canidae. The record is from RNAcentral.